This 253-nucleotide ribosomal RNA is filed under the name uncultured bacterium. Its description in RNAcentral is "partial 16S ribosomal RNA". It matches the Rfam family "Bacterial small subunit ribosomal RNA", at positions 524 to 776 of the family's 1533-position model. The record is from RNAcentral.
UACGGGGGGGGCAAGCGUUGUUCGGAAUUAUUGGGCGUAAAGGGCGCGUAGGCGGUCUUGUAAGUCAGCUGUGAAAGCCCGGGGCUCAACCCCGGAGGGUCGGCUGAUACUGCAGGACUGGAGUACGGAAGAGGUAGCUGGAAUUCCCGGUGUAGCGGUGAAAUUCGUAGAUAUCGGGAGGAACACCUGUGGCGAAGGCGGCCAUCUGGACAACUACUGACACUGAGACGCGAAAGCGUGGGUAGCAAACAGG